Astatotilapia calliptera (eastern happy) is the source of this 1231-nucleotide long non-coding RNA. The record is from Ensembl. NCBI's taxonomy places the organism in Eukaryota, Metazoa, Chordata, Actinopteri, Cichliformes, Cichlidae.
GCAACUCUCGCAUUUAAGUUCAUUUUAUUAGAUAUGCAAGGUUGAAACAAUUAGUAGUUGAAAUAUUAAGAAAUAAAUCAAUAGUAAUUCAUGUUUUGUUCAUUGGAUUUAUAUGUUUAAAUGUGUUAUUUUUACUAAUUGUGCAAUUAGAUAGGAACCUUUUCUAUAGUUCCGUCUGUUGUUGCUAAGAGGGUAUUUUUGGCUGGCACACUCAGCAAGCUAAUUGAGACGAGCCACGAGGUUUGCACGUCCACAGUAAGAUAGUAAAUAGUAAGAUAAAUAAAAGAGUGCCUUUUUUGGACCUCCCCACGAUGUAAGGAUUAAAGUUUUAUUCCCUUUGAGUGAGGCCAAUGAGGUAAAUGUUUUCUUUUGUUUAUUUUCGUUGUAUGUAAAUAUGCUAGUGUUGCGUGAUAUUCUAGUGCAAUUACCGCAGUGUGAGGUGUAAUGUGUAUUUUAUUGAUUGUUUUGUUGGAAUGUUUCGCCACAUAUAAUGCUUAGGGGCUUUAUUAAGAAUAUUCAUUUAAGUUUGUAUUUCUUUUUAGUUCUGACGGCAUUGUAUCGGCUGUGGUUGGACAUCAUUACAUGUUAAGGCAUGUCGAAGAAUCCUCCUGUCCGAAAUAAAUGUCAGUUAAAACACAAGGAACAAGUUGAGCUUUAUUACGACUCGAGGGGAGUAACAAGCCCUAUAAUUAUCUACUAGUCACAAACACACUGCAACAGUUUGAGUGUCUACCAACUACUGAACUUCCUUGUUCAAUAAUUUCUUUAGCAGGAAAAUGAGAGGGCUUCCCCCCAUCUAUGAGGGCAAGGUAUUCUGAAAUCUUCUGCUACCUGCUGCUGGUUAUUGUUGGUUUUACUUCCUUAUAUUCAAGCAUCAGAUGUUUAAGGAGCACUACCGUAAUGCCAAAACUCCCAAUGACUAGUAAACUGGAAGAAAGACAUAAUAUAAAUUUGGAUGACACACUUAAUUUUGGACACAGCUUUCUGAAGAACCAGGAAACUGACCCGGUGACAUUUACCGCAAGAGAUCAGCACAGAAAUACACAUCCUCAGAAGUUGCCUCGCAUUAUCUUAUUCUUUGAAAUUGACUUGUAGCACACACACCUCGUGACAUACACACACACACACACACACACAGCUUACACACAGACAGCAUCGGGACCUGCGUAACAGGAAAUGUGAUUAUAUUUGCAUAUUGACGAUGUAACCUAUAAAAAUAAACGAAUACUGC